GACUUCAUGAAGUUUAAAGACAUUGUUUCCUCGACAUAGGGAAGAUUAGCAUGGCCCCUGUGCAAGGAUGACACGCAAAUCCAUGAAGCUUUCCAUAUUUAA
Small nuclear RNA from Phyllostomus discolor (pale spear-nosed bat), 102 nucleotides. Lineage: Eukaryota; Metazoa; Chordata; Mammalia; Chiroptera; Phyllostomidae. The record is from RefSeq and is a predicted model, not a curated record.